CAAUGGGGCAUUUCACCAAACCAAGAAAGACCAGAUUAUGAUAGGAUCUGGGGGCAGAGGUGGAGUAUAGGUAGAAUGUAAAAGCAGCAUUGUGGGGACAGGCUCAAAGCAGAGCAGGCAGUGUAUAACGGGGGUCAAGAUGAAGCCUGGACUAGGAAGUGGACCCAGGUCCUGAUUCCUUGGAAAACUACAAAGUUAGUUGGGAAAAAAAGCAUGGAAUGUUAUGCCUGAAAACCCCUAUCAGAAUUUCUGUAUCUACGGUAGAAACUGAAACUGCUUCUCUGUGUCAAAGUGACUCACGUGGCUCAGGUCUUCCAGGCAAGAGUGGAAAGUUUCAAUCUUACUGAUAGGAUUGCACGCUGCAAAAUUUUGUCACAAAAGUUCACCGUGAUUUUUGUUCAGGUUGCAGGAGUAAAAAGCAAGGCUGGGGCCGUCACUGAAAGGCGAGCAGUAGUCCCUCAAAAGAGUGAUCAUGAUACGGCAGAUCUGGCAGGAAGAUUGCUUCCCGUUAACUUUGCAGCUGGCUUUAUCAGUGUCUGCUGUGGCACUCUGAUGAAUGCCAGAAACAGGGCCGACUUUUCCUCUCUCAGUCUGGACUGGUUUUUAACCCUUUCACCAGUAACGGAGGCCCAAGCUCCGUUCAACUGAUCCCCAAAGAUCCAGGUCAGCCCACAGGCUCCUAACAACCAAGGAAGCACAGGGAUGGGGUUUGGCCCCAGAAGUCUUUAUCCGCCUGCAAAGCCAGCUGAAUGACAAAUUUGUGAGCAAAGUAAGGUCUUUAGAGGAAACUUGGUAACUAGUACUUAGAAAGCAGUGCUUGGAAAGAUGGUAGGACAAAUUUUCUGAGCAUCAUGGGACAUACUGGUCAUCCAUCACUCUAAUAUGGGCAUAGAGGACACAUGGGUCGAAUUGCUUACGAAUCUCCAAACCUCAUAAUUAGGGCGACUUCUGCUCCAAUGACUGCCUUACUUCAGUUAUCUCCCCCAAUCCCUCCUCUAUAGUGAACCAAUUUCAGUGAAACUCAGAUCUUGCAUUUGGUAACAAUGAGCUCACAGAUCAAGUAUCUUGGCAAUUCAUCAGGGAGAUUGUUACACUUCAGCAGCUCCCAGUUGCCACCCAUGGGCCCAGAGGCUCCAGGAGUGUGGGUUCCUCUCCAGCAUCUUCAUUUGUAACCAUUCUGAGAGGUUGCAAAUCACACAAAAGUAAGGGUUAAGGAAUGUCCCCACCCCUACCCCGGGGGCAAUAGAGGAAGUGAACUCACAUUCCCUUUAUCAGAGGGGCUUCCUCUCUGGGGGGGGGGGCUCACCUGAGUUCUUUUCAGCCCAGUUAGAGUCAGACAAGUUUACAAGAAACAACCUCGCUAAAGGAAGAAAUAAGCUAUUUCCUCUGCCGUCUAUCCCCCCCCCCCUUGUCCUACCACCUUUAUAGAAGGGAAACGGGGCCCAUGUAAUCAUGAAAAUCUGCCAAGAUGCUAUUAUCUCAAGAGAAUUGAAUAUGUCAUUAUUUUGGUUUCUGUAAUUUCUUCAAGGACAGUGAGGAAUUAUCUUGCCAUCUUUCCACGCCCUUAAUACCUCUUGUAGAUGUUGGUUUUUGACGUUCCAGUUCAUAGAGUACCAUACCCCACUGCAUGCACCACUCCAGGUUACCCUCAGUCUAACACCUGGGAUGGGAAGUUGAAAGCAGUCAUACCAUAGUCAUCACUUGAGGGUCACCAAGGGAGUCUGUUUCCUUGGGGCAGAGGUUCUAAAGCUUUAGGGUUUAUCAGGAUGUCCUGAAGGGUUUGUCACACAGAUUACUGGGGCCCACUUUGGAACUUCUGAUUCAACAGAUCUUGGGGGGGGGGGAAGCUUGAUUAUGUUUCUAACAAGGUCCCAGGGGAUGCUGAUGGUACUGGACCAGGGACCACAUUUUAGGAGCCACUACUCUGGAGAAACAUCUCAUCUGAGAACAAUGGCCGUAGACCAAAUACACUGGGGGGGGGGGGGGGGGGCGGGGAAGGGAGGGGGGGAAAAGGACUUUGAGUAGGUGGCUUUUUACAUGCUCUUCCAUUAAGGAUGUAGGGUCUGUGUCCCUCUUGAAUCCAGGUGGGCUUUUGAUUGUUGGAGCAAUAGAAUACUGUGGAUGUGAUGCUGUGUGACUUUCCAGGCUAGGUCAUAAACAACCAAGCAGCUCUUGGGAUGCUCAUUCUAGGAGAAAGCAGCCAUCACGUAAGAAGACCAACUACCUUGAGACUGCUGUGUUAGAGAGUCUCUGGCUGACAGUCCUAAUGAGCCUGCUUCCAGCCAUCCCCACCACGGUGCCAGACACCAUCUCUGCCUUUGCCAUGACAAUGUGCUGGGCUAGGUUGCUAGAGGGUAAGGCACAAGGAGCCUGCCUGAACUGCCCCAGCCGUGCUGGCCAAGUCCUCCUAGAUCAGCUGAGUCUGCAAACUGCCAGGCAUAUGGAGUCCAGUCAAGACCAGACUGUCCAGCCACACCCAGUCUUAAUCGCCAAUCCAGAGCUGUAAGCAAAAUAAAUGCUUAUUUUAAGCCACUGAA
Molecule: long non-coding RNA, 2537 nt
Organism: Acinonyx jubatus (cheetah)
Lineage: Eukaryota; Metazoa; Chordata; Mammalia; Carnivora; Felidae
Exons: 2
Source: RefSeq, a predicted model, not a curated record